UCAAGAAAGGGGAAGAACGGACGGCGUCUUAUUCUAGAUAGUUCGCUUCUCUCUGAAACCCUAAAAUGCUUUCGUCCUAUAAAUUCAGAAAGCGUGCGCGGCUUCUUCAAGCAGCCGUCUUCAUCGCCUUUGCGGUCAUGAAGAGGUCACGGUGAUGACUCCAUAAAUUUCAAGCUCAACAGACCGGAAUGCAGGGAUCUCUCUAUUAUGGGAUGAUACUUUGCGUGUCGACCACCCCGCUGACCUGAGUGAUCUCUUCCUUGUUAUUUUUCUUUUCUAUUGUUCCCUGAUGUUUUUUUGCCCGUUCGGUUUCAAAUUAUUCAAAGUUUUUCUGUUUUCUUACUCUGGGGAAAAGAGAAUUCACGAUGAGGAUACACAAGCUCCCUCUUCUGAUAUUUCAAGUUGAGGAAGAUUGCUGGCAGAAUCGAACCUUCUACUCCAUAGCCACUACUGAGUGUUCUCUUUCCCCUCUAUAUCAUCGAUCCCUCCCCGCGCUUCACGCUUAAAUCUCGUAAACCGUAAAUUUUGCGGACGUUCUGUUUAUGAUUUUCUUACUCAAUCAUUGUAUUCGAUUAGAUUCGAUGGGUGAGGUCAGUGAUGAAUUAAAAUUGCCUACAUUGGCUGAUGAUCUUGUUUUAGGUGAGAUGAUGUCUUCAAUAGUCUGAGACCUCUUAAAUUUUUGUUCAGUUUUUAAAAAUAAGCUGGCGGACUCAUUCACUAUCUGGUUGAUCUGACCUCUGAUAAUUUGUUAAUAAAUGGUUGUUUGUACUCAGAAAUGCAUUGACUUUGGUUAUGCAGGUACCUGGAACCGUCUUUUGUUAACAAUAAGAACUGUUGGAUUCGAGAUGA
Long non-coding RNA from Prosopis cineraria, 849 nucleotides. RefSeq lists it as uncharacterized. Lineage: Eukaryota; Viridiplantae; Streptophyta; Magnoliopsida; Fabales; Fabaceae. The transcript has 2 exons. The record is from RefSeq and is a predicted model, not a curated record.